This 484-nucleotide ribosomal RNA is filed under the name uncultured bacterium. Its description in RNAcentral is "partial 16S ribosomal RNA". It matches the Rfam family "Bacterial small subunit ribosomal RNA", at positions 29 to 507 of the family's 1533-position model. The record is from RNAcentral.
AUUGAACGCUGGCGGCAUGCUUUACACAUGCAAGUCGAACGGCAGCGCGGGCUUCGGCCUGUCGGCGAGUGGCGGACGGGUGGGUAAUACAUCGGAACGUGCCCAGUUGCGGGGGAUAGCUCGGCGAAAGCCGGAUUAAUACCGCAUACGACCUGAGGGUGAAAGCGGGGGAUCUUCGGACCUUGCGACAUUGGAGGGGCCGAUGGCAGAUUAGCUAGUUGGUGGGGUAAAGGCCUACCAAGGCGACGAUCCGUAGCUGGUCUGAGAGGACGACCAGCCACACUGGGACUGAGACACGGCCCAGACUCCUACGGGAGGCAGCAGUGGGGAAUUUUGGACAAUGGGCGAAAGCCUGAUCCAGCAAUGCCGCGUGUGUGAUGAAGGCCUUCGGGUUGUAAAGCACUUUUGGCGGGAACGAAAAGGACUGUGCCAAUACCACGGUUCGAUGACGGUACCCGAAGAAUAAGCACCGGCUAACUACGUG